CUGGCGGCGUGCCUAAUACAUGCAAGUCGAACGGUCUUUCUAUGGAAGCUUGCUUCCACUGAGAAGAUAGUGGCGAACGGGUGAGUAACACGUGGGUAACCUGCCCAUAAGAGGGGGGAUAACAUCCGGAAACGGGUGCUAAUACCGCAUAGUUUUCUUGAUCGCAUGAUCGGGAAAGGAAAGACGGCCUUUGUGCUGUCGCUUAUGGAUGGACCCGCGGCGUAUUAGUUAGUUGGUGAGGUAAUGGCUCACCAAGACGAUGAUACGUAGCCGACCUGAGAGGGUGAUCGGCCACAUUGGGACUGAGACACGGCCCAAACUCCUACGGGAGGCAGCAGUAGGGAAUCUUCCGCAAUGGACGAAAGUCUGACGGAGCAACGCCGCGUGAGUGAAGAAAGGUUUUCGGAUCGUAAAACUCUGUUGUCAGAGAAGAACAAGUUGGAGAGUAACUGCUCCAGCCUUGACGGUAUCUGACCAGAAAGCCACGGCUAACUACGUGCCAGCAGCCGC
RNAcentral lists this ribosomal RNA (510 nucleotides) under uncultured bacterium. RNAcentral's name for it is "bacterial SSU rRNA". It matches the Rfam family "Bacterial small subunit ribosomal RNA", at positions 36 to 518 of the family's 1533-position model. The record is from RNAcentral.